This is a non-coding RNA of Mobula hypostoma (lesser devil ray), 368 nucleotides long. The record is from the annotation of a RefSeq genome assembly. NCBI's taxonomy places the organism in Eukaryota, Metazoa, Chordata, Chondrichthyes, Myliobatiformes, Myliobatidae.
UCAGGACAGUUAUGUUUCCCUUACUGGGGAUGAUGGCUCUAUUCCAUGGGGUACAAAGUGAAUUAAUUCUCCAAAAAGACCGAUUCCUCACCGUACGCGAACGGGGCUCGGUGAUGAUGUCCUGCUUUGUGCCAAAUACCCACCCGAGUACCUAUUGGUAUCGACAGACUCCCAAUCAAGGGCUGGAGCUCCUGAUCUACGCGUAUCGGAGUAACGCCCCACAGAUAUCGGAAGGAUUCGAGAACCGACUGUCAGCAGUCCGGGGGUCGGACGAUUCCUACCACCUCAACUUGACUGGGCUGCUCCCCGGUGACACGGCUGUGUAUUUCUGCGCAAGCGAUAGCACCACAGUAGUGCCGACAACCUGA